GAGAUAGCUCGUACUCCCCGAAAUGCAUUUAGGUGCAGCCUGCGUGAUUACCGGCAUGAGGUAGAGCGACUGAUAAGAUGCGAGGGCUUCGCCGCCUAUCAAGUCUUGACAAACUCCGAAUGCUUGCCGGUUUGACACGUGGAGUGAGGGGCCGGGUGCUAAGGUCCGGUCCCGAGAGGAGAAGAAUCCUGACCAUCGUCUAAGGUCCCGAAAUGACGGCUGAGUUAGUCAAACGAAGUAGGAUUGCCGUGACAGCUAGGAUGUUGGCUUGGAAGCAGCCAUUCAUUUAAAGAGUGCGUAACAGCUCACUAGUCGAGGAAUCCUGCGUGGAUAAUAAUCGGGUAUAAGCCGUCUGCCGAAGACGUGGAAUCUCAUAAGAGAUUGGUAGGGGAGCAUUCCAUUCAGCGUUGAAGGCGCACCGCGAGGUGCUCUGGAGCGUAUGGAAAAGCAAAUGUAGGUAUAAGUAACGAUAAAGGGGGUGGGAUGCCCCCUCGCCGUAAGACUAAGGUUUCCUGAUCAACGCUAAUCGGAUCAGGGUAAGUCGGGUCCUAAGGCACAGCCGAACGGCGCAGCCGAUGGAAGAAACGGUUAAGAUUCCGUUACUGCCGCACGGAGUGACGCGGGGACGGAGGAGUGACAGUGCCGCCGCCUGACGGAAUAGGCGGUUGAAGGGUGUAGGCGUCGAUUGCCGCAGGCAAAUCCACGGCAAGAGCCGAACCUGAUAGUAUGGGGCGUUCCCCGGAACAACCCAAUAGUGCACGUAAACAGACUCCCGAGAAAAUCCGCUAAACAUAAUCCGUGUGGCACCCGUACCGCAAACGGACACACGUAGUCGGGUAGAGCAUACCAAGGCGCUUGAGUGAAUCACGGUUAAGGAACUAGGCAAACUGACCCUGUAACUUCGGGAUAAAGGGUCCUCACAGUAAUGUGAGGCGCAGAGAAUCGGUCCAGGCAACUGUUUACCAAAAACACAGGGCUGUGCGAAUUCGCAAGAAGCAGUAUACAGCCUGACACCUGCCCGGUGCCGGAAGGUUAAGAGGAGAUGUCACCGCAAGGGAAGCAUUGAAUUGAAGCCCCGGUAAACGGCGGCCGUAACUAUAACGGUCCUAAGGUAGCGAAAUUCCUUGUCGGGUAAGUUCCGACCUGCACGAAUGGUGUAAUGAUCUGGACGCUGUCUCAACCGUGAGCUCAGUGAAAUUGUAGUAUCGGUGAAGAUGCCGAUUACCCGCGAUGGGACGAAAAGACCCCGUGAACCUUUACUAUAGCUUAGCAUUGGGGCCGGGCACGUGAUGUGUAGGAUAGGUCGGAGGCAAUGAAGUGGUGACGCCAGUCAUCGUGGAGCCGCUGUUGAAAUACGACCCUUCAUUUGUCUGGUCCCUAACGCGCUGUGCGCGGACAUUGCUUGGUGGGUAGUUUGACUGGGGUGGUCGCCUC
This 1434-nucleotide ribosomal RNA is filed under the name human gut metagenome. RNAcentral describes it as "bacterial LSU rRNA". It matches the Rfam family "Bacterial large subunit ribosomal RNA", at positions 842 to 2289 of the family's 2925-position model. The record is from RNAcentral.